ACACGUAGGGCGCAAGCGUUGUCCGGAUUUAUUGGGCGUAAAGGGCUCGUAGGCGGUUUCGUAAGUCGGGUGUGAAAACUCAGGGCUCAACCCUGAGACGCCACUCGAUACUGCGAUGACUUGAGUCCGGUAGGGGAGCAGGGAAUUCCUGGUGUAGCGGUGAAAUGCGCAGAUAUCAGGAGGAACACCAUUAGCGAAGGCGCUGCUCUGGGCCGGUCCUGACGCUGAGGAGCGAAAGCAUGGGGAGCAAACAGGAUUAGAAACCCUAGUAGUCC
This 275-nucleotide ribosomal RNA is filed under the name uncultured bacterium. Its description in RNAcentral is "partial 16S ribosomal RNA". It matches the Rfam family "Bacterial small subunit ribosomal RNA", at positions 523 to 796 of the family's 1533-position model. The record is from RNAcentral.